GUUGAAUAAACAACAAAAGCAACUACAAAAUGGUCAGAGGCCAAAGUAUUAGCAAUAUGCUUAUAAUAAUACAACCCAUUUCCAUCAGCUUCAAGAUCAAAGGGAGAGAUAUCAAACACAACACAAUUCAUUUUAAAAAAAAAAACACACAACAAAAUUCUCCAUCAAGGAACAACCCCUCUUGGCCAAAAGUCAGCCAGUUUGUUCCUUUCAAAAGAGAAUGGGCUUUUUUUUUUUUUUCUUCAUAUAAGAGGGGUCAAAGUGUCAAACAUCUCAGGAAUAUAUCCCCAAAGACUAGAGACUCUGGGGGCAUUUUUAACAAAGUGAGGGGGGCCCCUCCCCCCUAAUGGCUUCGCCUUCGACGCUAUGACAAACAUACGGUAGAGUAUUAUAAAGACUAGGGCUGUCCAGUCAACCGCCAGACCCGACUCACCAGCCGCUGCCGACAGAACCCGACCCGCCGCCGACCGAACUGAUUUCUUCGACGGUCGGUGACGGAUUGCUUUUUCCAGAACCCGACUUUGACGGGUCGAACGUCGGUUCUCCUUCUUCAAAAUCCGAGAAACCCGAUCCGACCAACCCACAAAUAUUCCAGCGUUAUUUGAUAAAUCCGGCGAGUUUUGAGAUGUUUUUUGGCUAGAUCCGGCGAGAUUUCGCUAGAUCUAGUCGAGUUUUUGGCUAGAUUCGGCGAGAUUUCGCCAGAUCUAGUCGAGAUCUUGGCUAUUUUCGGCGAAAUCUCAAAGGAUUUUGGCCUUUUUUUCAUUGUUCAGCGAGUUUUGAGAUGUUCUUUGACUAGAUCUUGGCUAGAUACGGCGAGAUUUCACUAGAUCUAGUCGAGUUCUUGGCUAGAUCUGGCGAGAUUUCGCCAGAUCUAGUCAAGAUCUUGGCAAUUUCCGGCGAAAUCUCAAAGGAUUUUGGCCGAUUUUCAUAGUUUUCUCGUCGGAUUUCCUCUAAUUUCCAGAUCUCGACUCUGACCGAACCCGAUCGCCGCUCGUUGAUGUUCCAACCCGUCCAAAUCGAUCAUCCUCUCGGUCGGCAGCAGGUUGAAAGUUUGCCCAUCCGAUUUGGUCGGGUCGGAUGCAGGUUGAGCCAAAUCCGAUCCGACCCGUGGACAAGCACUAAAGAGUAAUAAUAUGUUUACAAACAUUUUAAUGAAAAAGUAAUGAAUAUCUUAAUUUAUAUAUAUAUAUAUAUAUAUAUAUAUAAAACUGAAACUUUUGAAACUUCCACAAUUUUCUACGUCAUCAUUUUUUUUUUUAAUACUUUCUAAAUAUGAUUUAUAAGUUUUGAUUUUUUUCCCCCAAUUUUCCACCUCGUCAUUUAAUUUUUUUUUAAUACUUUUUAAAUAUGAUUUAUAAGUUUUGAUUUUUUCCCCCACCAAACACACGUUACAAAACCCAAUACCUCUUUAAAACCUAAAACUAAUCCUCAGACGCUAUCUCCUUCCCCUAAACCUAAAACUCACUUUUCUUUCUCCAACAUCAAAACGCAAAACUUAGAUUCUGAGAGUGAAAGUCAUUGGCUAAAGAGAGAUCAAGAAAGCCACCACCCACUGUCAGGCAUGCAUUUCGCCACCAUCAGACUGCUGCUGAUUGUUAUGUAGAAUGUUGUGGCCCUUGUGGGAAGCAAUCCCUUCACUUGUCUGCACUUUUUUUUUGUCCCCCACCCUCCCUUCUUUUAAAGAAAGAUAAAGAUUACAUCUUUUUUAGGUUGUCUUCAGUUUUCUUAUUUGUAUUUAUUUAUUUAGAUUUCUAAUUCUAAUUUCUUUUAUGCCUUAUGUGAAUGAUCUGAUUUAUUUGAAAAGAAGAGCAUUUUGUGCAUAUUGUUGGAUUAUAUAUUUGGGUUGUGCAUUUUUUUUUCCUUAGGAACCAAUAUUGUUGCAUAGUUGCUGAAUGUGUGGAACAUUGAGGUAAGGUUUUAAUAAUCUUGAGGAUUGCUUUUAUCUGGACAUAAUAUACCUUUUAUUUUUUGUUUUGCUUGAUAUUAAAGGAAAAAUGAUUUGGCUAGGAAUGAGAUCCUUCUACUAAAAUGUAGAUUUGAGGGAGAAUGUGGUGUGUUGACUGAGACCAUGUUUUAUGUCCCUAAUAGGAACAAGAUAAGUUUUGGUAUUGGAACAAUUUAGUAGUGACCUGUUAGAUUUUACUAAUAAUACAAUUUUGGUCCUUUUGUCUAUCAUAAAAUAUAUAUUGAUGACAGUUACUGCCUUUUCCAAGUAGCUACUUUUUCCAAUUUAAAUGAUGAAAUUUGCAUAGCUAUUCAUUUGAUGAAAUGAUAGUUAGUGAUAUGGGUUAAAUUCAUAUUGAAAUUGUUUUAAAUGGGACAAAGGCUCAAAGUUGAGUUUUAAUUAUGUCUUCAAUUAGGUUUUCUAUCAAUUUAGGGAUUUCAAUUCCUAUCUUUUUGUAAGAAAAUAUUGUGGAUAUGGAUUGGUUUCGUAGUGGAGAUAGUAUUGAAGAGCCUCCCAACCCUCAAAAUCUGACAACAACCCUACAGGUUUUGCUUUAGCUUCAAGCUCUACUUAAUUUCUUUAUUCAUAUUUCUAAUUCGAAUUUCUUUUAUACCUUAUGUGAAUGAUCUGAUUUAUUAGAAAAGAAGAGCAUUUUGUGCAUAUUGUUGGAUAAUAUAUUUGGGUUGUGCAUUUUUAUUUUCCUUAGGAACCAAUAUUGUUGCAUAGUUGCUGAAUGUGUGGAACAUUGAGGUGCUCUUACUGAUAUCAGGUUUUAAUAAUCUUGGGGAUUGCUUUUAUCUGGACAUGAUAUACGUUUAGUUUUUUGUUUUUGUUUUGCUUGGUAUUAAAGGAAAAAUGAUUUGGCUAGGAAUGAGAUCCUUCUACUAAAAUGUAGAUUUGAGGGAGAAUGUGGUGUGUUAUCGCACUCUCUCAAAUACUAUAACUCUUCUGUUCUCAAAGCCCCUAACUUGGGUAAAGCAACUGUUUUCUAGGAACUAUUUUAAGGCAAAGCAAAAGGGUUUGACAUGGAGAAGGCUUUAUUGGCAAAGUCUAUUCGUGAUUUUGAAAAGCGUGAUUUUGAAAAAGCAAUAUCUAUGGUAUCUUAGCACAAGAGAUGUGGUUGGGAAUGUGAGCAAGCAAAGAUGAUUUAUAAAACUCUAUGUUUUGUGUUGAAUAAGUAUAUGAUGUACUCUUCUAUAUAAUGUAGAUUUGUUGUAUUAUGUUCUUUCUCUACUCUUUUUGAGUCAUAGCAAAAGAAUUUGACAUUGGUAACUAUAUUCUAUUUAUUUAUUAUGAAAAUAAGAUUGCAAUCAUUACAAUUUGUUUA
This is a long non-coding RNA of Quercus robur (English oak), 3272 nucleotides long. RefSeq lists it as uncharacterized. Lineage: Eukaryota; Viridiplantae; Streptophyta; Magnoliopsida; Fagales; Fagaceae. The transcript is spliced from 2 exons. The record is from RefSeq and is a predicted model, not a curated record.